UUAAUUGCCCGAGGCCAUGGCAUGUGGGAAAAAGUCUGACAAUUAGUGUGGAGUUUUGGCUUUUUUAAGUAUUGAAGGGGGCUGAAGGGUUUCAAAGUUCUGGGUUGAGAGUGUUUAAUAUUGAGUAAAAAAUGUAUACCUAGUGAGGACACAGUGACAAAAAGGCAUCAUAUAUAAAAUAAGCAUGACACGCAGGGGUAAUAGUCAUAUAAUAUAAUAAAAAAAUGGUAGUAAGCAUAAAUUUCUCAAGAACUGCAGUGAGUUAAAAAGGUACUCUUGGGAUAAUUUGAAAAUUCAACCAGUUUUUUCACAGACUAUAUCCUACCAUCUUCUGAGAAAUGUAGUUAAAGAAAGCAGAAGCUAUACACUAAAAUUCCAUUAUAGUUGGUCUUCUCAGCACCAGCUUUAGUAUAGUGACUCUUCAAGAGGGAGAAUAUAGAUCAGUUUAAUCAUGGAGCCACUUUUUGGGGGCACUAACUCUAUUUUGAGGUUCUAAAGAAUAUACUUGGGAAGUUUUAAUGCAUCGACAAGAAUGUAUGGUAAUGAUGCUGAAAUAUGCUUCUGUGCCACAGGAUAAUGGAGUCAGCACCCUGUGAGAAUCUGGAGAAGCUGUGUGUGCUCUCUCUAGAAUAGACACAUUUGCACUAUCACACAUCACACUUCCAUGCACACACUGUUUUGCACAUGAUUUCAGGGGGACCUGGAGCAUUUCUUUCUCCUGAUGUCCCACGUCUCAUGUGGUCCCUCUGUUACCCUGGAAGGAUGAAGGACUGAGAGGUGCUGGCAUGCUUGUGCAGGAAGAACUCGGCUGGAGACAGUCUUCGAGAUUAAAAAUUGCACCUAAUAUCAAGAAGCCUGCUCAGGCAGAAUAUCAAUCCAUCCUUGACCUGACUGGCUGCCGAGGGUCAUGGUUUUCUGAAACUGUUGUGGAGAUGGCAGGGGGAUUACUAGUUGAGAUAUAGAAUUCAUUUUCUUCUCUACACUAUCCAGGAUUUAUGCCCUAGUGAAAGAGGAAUCCAAGGGAGGUAAAAUGUAAAAAGGAGAUUCAAUGAUAUUUUUGUUGUCACCCUUUGAAGCAAAGAAGAAUUUUUAAAAAAUCGAAUGGUUCUCCAACUUGGUGACACAUUGGGAUAAGCUUGUUUAAAAAUGAAGAUUCCAAGACCCUGACCCUGGCAAUCUGCUUCAUAAGGUUUGGGGCAGGGCCCAGGAAUCUGUGUUUUUAUAAGCUGGAUUUAGAAACUAAUCCUUUAUUGAACUCUUAAAAAUAUGUGGAAACAUGUAUCCUCUUCCCAUCAGAAGUCCUCCUUAGAACUUUGCCUUCUAGCAGUAUGGUAAGCUAGCUAGUCCAAAAACCUUUUUACAUGCUGAAAAAAAUCCAAAGGACCUUUUUUUAAGUGUCUAACUGAACUUUGAGAUAGUGGAGAGAAAUUCUAGGGAUUAACAGUGAAGAGGGGGCUGAAGCCAGAAUGGUGAGCAGGCCAGCGAGCUGCUGGCCUGGGGGUUGUGCUGGGCUUCCCGGGGUCUGCUGCUGGCAGGGAAGACUGGCCUUGGGCUCACUCACACAUACUGUUUGAGAUGCUCUUGUAAAUUUGGUGGCUGUAGUAAAAUGUUUCCUUCCCUGCAGGGAGACAAUAGGGACCUUUGUCUCUCUUGACUUUUUUCCUGUGUGUGAUGCGUUUGUGGAAGUCUCCCAUAGGUUCGAGAUUGAAUUUAUUGUGCUGGUAGGGUGUUAUAGUUUGUACAAGAGGGUGUCCCCCUGAAAGUUCCCGUGUCAAUGCAGGAAUAUUCCGAGAUGAAAUAAUUGGAUUUGAGAUCUGUAAAAGAAUCAGUUCAUCCUAGUUUGAAUGGACUAACUGAAUGGUAACUGUGGGCAGGUGGGCUGUGGCUGGAGAAGGUGGGGUGUAUCCUGGAAGGGGGCAUCUUCUGCGUGUUCCCUUUCCCUUUUCUCCCUCUGCUUCCUGACUGCCUUGAGCAGAGCAGCUCUCCUCCACUGCUCUCUUCCGCCAUGACUGCUGCCCACUUCAGGCUCAGAGCAGUGGAGUCUACUGGCCAUGGGCUGAGACCUCUGAAGCUGUUGAGCCCAAAAUUGAAGUUUUCUUCCUCUAGGUGGUUCUUGUCAGAUACUUUGGUCACAGCAACAAAAAGCUGACUUAAAACAUUUGGUUUAGUAACCCCAAACUGAGAAUUUAACUAGAAGUGAGUGAUAGUGACCUGGGACUCCUGGUAGAAACAAACACCAACUCCCUGGAUGAUGGAAAUUCACGUGCCCAGGAUUCUCAAGAUUGACCAGAAAUGAGCUCACAAUCCAAAAUUUAAAAAUGCACAGAUGAACCAGCAUAAGUGAGAAUCAGGUGGAUUAGCAAACAGCAGAAUUAGUAUGAGUAAGUCUUCAGAAAUUUGGGUUAUCAGGUAAAGAUUAUAUAUAGUGGCAUCUGAUAAUGUUUAAAACUGUUGGAGAAAUAAAAGGUGAGAUUGAAAAUGUAAGCAGGAAUUAUGAGAACUACUAAGAUUAUCAGGCAGAUUUUAAGAAAAAUCAAAUAGAAUCUCUAAAAUUUUUAAUUUUUGAAAUAAAAAAAAUCAGUGGAAUGAUUUUAACUGGAAGAUUAGACAAAUUGAAAGAUGAUAAAUCUGAGAAAGUUGCCCAGCAUUUAACAAAGAGAUGGAUAUUAGGAAAGCAGUUUAUUGAAUAAUAGAAUGAGAUGAGUAAUGUGUAAUUGGAGUUCCAGCAAAAGAUAGAGAAUUGGGAAAGGAAUAAUUGCUAAGACUUUUCUAGAACUAAUGAAAGAAUUCUCCGAUUUUAGGAAACACAGUACAUCUCAAACAUGGUUAAUAAGGAGUAAUAUAUUAAAAAAACAAAGAGAAUAUCCUAGAAGCAGCCAGAAAGAUCCAAAAGCACAAUAGGGUUAGGGUUAGGGUUAGGGCAAGAAUGUCUGUUCAAAUUCUGACUUUAUAACUUAUAAGCUAUGUGACUUCUAUGGACCUCAGUUUUCUCCUUUGUAAAAUGGGGAUAAUAAUAUUACCUAUUUUCUAGGAUUGUUAGAUUUUAAUGUGUUAAUAUAUGUAGAGUUCUUAAAAUAGUGCCUGGAAUAUAGCGAACCCAAUGUAAGUGUCAACGGCUGUUAUUAUUACUGCUGCAAAGGAGUAGGAGACCACUGAUAGCAGGCUUGUGAACUGCCCUAGUGGAAACUUCAAGACAGUAAAUUACUUCUAAGUGUUGAGAGAAAAAUGUCAAAUUUAGAAUCGUGUGCCCAUCUAAAUCAUCAUUUGAGAACGAAGAAAUUUUUAGAUAAAACCCAAAGUUUGCUACCAAAAGAAAUCAAUAAAGCAACUUCUGAACAUCUUCAGGUUGAACAUCUCUAACCUGAAGAUCCCAAAUCUGAAAUGCUCCAAAAUCUGAAACUUGUUGAGCUUGAACGCGAAGCUGCAAGUAGAAAAUUCCAUACCUGAUUUCACGCAGUGGGUCACAGUCAAAACUCCUGCAUACUACAAAUAAUGAAUUAAAUUAUCUUCAACUGCUGUGUGUGAGGUAUACCUGAAACAUAAGUGGAUUUCAUGUUUAGGCUUGGGUCCCAUCCCCAAGACAUUCAUUAUGAUGUAUGUGUUUACAUUCUAAAAUCUGAAAAUGUCCUGGUCCCAAGUAUUUCAGAUAAGGGAUUCUCAACCUAUAUAUGUGUUUGGGGGCAGGGGGUAGAGGUUAUCCCAAAUCAGCAUCUAAAAUGCAGAAGAAAAUGGAGAAGAAAUAAAUUGUUAGAUAUGGAAUAAAUCUAAACAAAUGUUGACAACACAGAGAAAUCAGGCCAAAACAGGGCAGAUAAAAGGAACAACAGAAGCAAGAAAUAGCACAAAAUAUCCCAGUGAAAUAAUUGAAGAUCUCAGUAAUCAUGGUAAGCUUAGAUGAAGAUGCACUGACAGAGCAGAUACAGGAAACCAAGUCCAGCUGGAUGCUGCUUAUAAGAAAUACAUCCUAGAACAAAGAGGUAGAAAGGUUGGGAUUAAUAGAAUGGGAAAUGCCAAUCAAAGGGAACCAGUAAGUGAGCAGUAUCCAACAACUAUUGAAAUGGUAUUAGAAAAAGGAAAUACUGUUAACUACAGGAAGCAGGAAGCUUUGCAAACUACAGUUCAUGGGCCAAUUCUAGCCUGCUGUCUCUGUUUGCAUAUGCAGCUUUUUUUGGGAACUAUAGCUACCCCCCUCUCUCUCUCUCUCUCUCUGGCAAGGUCUUUGUGCAGACAUCAGAGUUGAGUAGUGCAGCAGAGAUUGUCUGACCCGCAGAGCCUAAAAUGUUUACUAACUGGCCCCUUUUAGAAAACGAAUGCUAAUUUCUGAACUAGAUCUGCAUACACACACCCCAGCAGCCAAUGGCAGAACUACGCUGAGUCUCACAGAAAUAAUGUCAAGUUAAAAAAAAAAAAAUGCAAGUGGCAGACUUAUACCAGUUAUAAAAGGUUUGGAAACACAUAAAAAUACUGUAAAUUCCUCGUUGGGAUAUGUAUGUGCAUUGUGAAGCUCUAUAAAGUAAAGCAGGAGAGUGGGAGACACCGAAGUGAGGGUUGUUGGGAGGUUGAGGCAGGAGACUGGUUAUUCACUAUUGAGCUACUCAAAAUUGAAGGCCAACUCAAGAAACGAGAAACAUUCCCUAAAAAAAAACCCAUCCAUCGGCCACUGGCUCUCUUAACUAUCUUAACUGUAGCAUGCACUUAAAAAAAUAUAGUAAAAUAUGAUCAUUUUUCUUCUCAGCACGUUUUUUUGGGUAGUGGGGGUGGGGUACUAGGAAUUGAACCCAGGGAUACUCCACCACAAAGCUAUAUCCCUAGUCCAUUUUUAUUUUUUGUUCUGAAACAGGGUCUUGCUUAGGGCCUCACUGACUUGCUAAGGCUGGUUUUGAACUUGCAGUCCUCCUGCCUCAGCCUCCCGAGUUGCUGGGAUGACAGGCCAGCGCCAGAGAAGCACUUUUGGAUGAUGCAAGGCAGGCACGUGAGCCCUGGAGGAAAGGGAGCCUUCUCCAGUGCUUCCCCGAGGGGUUUGUUUUGUAGCUGGAUGGUGGGGACCGGUGUUCUUAUUGCCUUUGUACCUUUCUUUCUGUCUUACAAAUAGCUUGAUGUGUUCUCCAAGAGUGGUCCUUUAUUUAGGCAGAGGGCCUUGGCGAUCCUGUAGCCAUAAGGAAAAGUAGCUUCAAAAGGACUUCAGGGAGGGACGUACCGCAUGCUAAUCGUCACGUUUUCAGAUAGGAAAGAAAUGGCUGCGAUAGGAGAGAACCUGGCACCUGGCGAGGGUCCUGGGUCACGGAGUAUAGUCUCCUGCUCAAAGAAGAAACUCCUUUGCCCACAGCCCUGGUUAGUGGCCAUCUGGGACCUGCGAGUUUGUCAUGUGAUCACGAGGCUGCCAGCUUCGUUCGUGUGGCCGAGUUGAGUGGUUCUGAGUCCCCUUUUGUGUAUGUCACGGUUGGUUAAAUGUGAAGAUGCCAGCCACGCGUCAUCAGUGUGACCCUUUGACUUCAUGACUGUGGCACUUCAGCUUGGCAUUCAGUCUAGAUUGUCCCUGUCCCCUGGAAAGCCAGCCCUUUGGUCCUGACCGCAGGGAGUCGGUGGUCUGACUGGUUCAGAGUGGAGGGAGGCAUCGCCUCUGCCCCAGUGAGCAUGAGCAUCCCCCUCCUGUUAGAAAGCCCCGGAGGUCAGCCCUGGGUGGGUUCCUGUCAAGGUUGUGGUCAGCUAAAUCCUGACUCCGCUUCCUGAAUUGAGAAGGUAUCUUUGAGAGAAAGAAAAACAGAGAAGAAAACAUAAAAAGCUUUAUGAUUUCCCACAUGUCAAAAAACAUGCAUUUGGCUGGGAGGGAGCAGCAGGGCUUCCUCCAGUGUGUCAGGCGUUGGCCAGCGCCUGGAAGAAGCCCGCCGUGCUCCGUGUGUUUACAGCCAGGUGUUGCAGAGGUCAGGUCGGGAAGGGGAGGGGGUAGCUGAUGGAUCAGGCUGGGUUUUAUAGAAAAAUUUUCUAGUUUAAUGAGUUGAUUCUUAACUUUGAGAAACAUCUUUUUUAGUUUCCUAGGGUUUUUUUUUUCCUCCCCUUGAUACUGGGGAUUGAACCCAGUGGUGCUUUUUAUUGUUUAUUUUGGGACAAAGUCUUGCUAAGUUGCUAGGGCUUCUCUAAGUUUCUGAGGCUGGCCUUGAACUUGUGAUCCUCCUGCCUCAGCCUCCUAAGCUGCUGGGGUUAUAGGUGUGUGUCACCAUGCCCAGUUUAACAAAUAUUUUUGACUACCAUCUGUGUUCUGGUUACUUACUGAAAAACAGCAAGGUAGGCACACCUAAGGUGGCAGUUUUCACCCUUUUGCCCUCAGUAUUUUUUUUAUACACUAGUAAGUCUUAAAGAUCCCAGAGGUUUUGUUCAUAUAGAUUAUAUUGAUGACUGUAUUUAGAAAUUAAAGCAGAAAUUUAAACAGUGUGGACAUAUUAAUUUAUUUAAAAGAAUAAUGUUAAGUCUGUGACCUCUUAAACAUAAAUGGUUUACUUUUUAUGAAACAUGACUGCUUUCCAACAACUGUGGGUGAACGUCAUGGUCUUGCACAUUGCUUUGGUGUUUGGAUUAACCGGAGGGAUCUGGGCUCUGGGUUGAUUCUGCAUUCAGUCUGUUUUACGCGGACCUCCCCGGGCCUGGGAAGCUCCGCGGUGUGCUGAGAGUGAAGCAGGCAGACGACAUCUGUGUUAGAUUCAUGUUGCUCUGGUAACAAGUUACCACAAAUUGAGUGACUUAAAUCAACAAAAAUGUAUUGGCCUUAAAUUCCGGGCGGGUCUCCCUGGCUGAAGUCAAGGUCCUGGCAGGGCGACCUUCCCUUCUGGGAGAAGGCUUCCUUGCCCUUUUCAGCUUCCAGAGGCUCCAGUGUUCUCCGCAGCCCCUCUCAUUGUCAAAGCCAGCAGGGGCUGGAGUCUUCCUCAGUCUCCUCUCCCCCGUGGGGCCAGCAGUAUUUACUCAUGGAACUCCAGUGGUGGUCAUUGAAGCGAUGACCAAGAAGUCCCCAGUGGUGGCAUGGGGAGGCGCUGGCAUUUGUCCCUUUCCUGCUUCCUGCGCCCUCCAGCGAGACAUUCUCCAAAGGUUGCCACGAGCCUGCUCUUCAGAUGGGGCUCAGUUUUCUUUCUCUAAGAACAUUUUCUGUUGAAGCUAAAUAAAGGUUCCUUUCUUUUGAA
Marmota monax (woodchuck) is the source of this 7169-nucleotide long non-coding RNA. RefSeq lists it as uncharacterized. The transcript has 2 exons. The record is from RefSeq and is a predicted model, not a curated record. NCBI's taxonomy places the organism in Eukaryota, Metazoa, Chordata, Mammalia, Rodentia, Sciuridae.